Molecule: ribosomal RNA, 412 nt
Filed under: Conus frigidus
Lineage: Eukaryota; Metazoa; Mollusca; Gastropoda; Neogastropoda; Conidae
Description: partial 16S ribosomal RNA
Rfam family: Bacterial large subunit ribosomal RNA
Source: RNAcentral
CCGCGGUACUCUGACCGUGCAAAGGUAGCAUAAUCAUUUGCCUUAUAAUUGAAGGCUGGAAUGAAUGGUUUGACAAGAAUGUAUCUGUCUCCUUUAGAUUGUUUAGAAUUUUAUGGAUGAAAAAGUUCAGAUCUAAUUAAAAGACAAGAAGACCCUAUCGAGCUUUAGAAAAAUUAAUGGACUUAAUAUAAUUAAUAUUGAUAAAAGAAAAGCUAUUAAAUACUUUGAUUGGGGCAAUCGAGGAGCAGCUAAAACCUCCUUUAGUGUAGUAGUCCCACCUGUGUUGAUCCAAGAAUUUUGAUUAAAGGAAUUAGUUACCGUAGGGAUAACAGCAUUAUCUUUUUUAAGAGCCCAUAUCGAAAAAAAGGUUUGUGACCUCGAUGUUGGACCAGGAUAUCCUAAAGAUGCAGAA